This is a long non-coding RNA of Anser brachyrhynchus (Pink-footed goose), 2892 nucleotides long. The record is from Ensembl. Lineage: Eukaryota; Metazoa; Chordata; Aves; Anseriformes; Anatidae.
UCAUUUAUAGUGCUUAUUACCAUUUCUGGAAUAAUUCUUUAAAGUCUCUGACAGCUAUUUCCUCUUCUUUGGAAUACUCUUAUAGGAGACUGUAAUUCCCUUGAGCCUUUCAUGAGAAAAUGAGCCAGGGGUCUUACAAAGCAGGGAGGCAGCCGGGGAAUUUAGCUGUUUUAGAAGUUACGUGAGGUGGGGCUGUGGGCUCCACCUGCACGUUCACCCUGCUGCUUCGGGAGGGCGCUGCCCUGCCCUGGUCUGCAAAGCAUGAGGAGGGCCCGUAGUGGACAUACAGGGGAAGAAACAGGAUUUUUUCCACCCUGUUUCAGGGCUGUAUAUGAACAUCUAGUGGUGUGGGAAGUCACUCUUCACGCUGUAACUGGGCCCUGCUGCACCAUAUCUGUUUCUUGCCGUAUGCGGACAUUUACAUUCGUCAUGUUCCUGUAUGCCGUGGGCUUUGCUUCGUGGAAGUUAAAUGCCAAACAACCCUGCUGACAUUGCUCGGAGUGCCUCGGAGUGCUACCAAGUACUGCUGCUGUGCUUUCAUCGAGCGUUUCGUCUUUGCUUAUGCCCCUGUCUUGCUGCUGCUGAUUUGGCUGAGAUGUUUGCCCAAACUUCACAGGCCGGGAGCAGGCUCACAUCACCCAAGUGGCUGGAAUUAAACUCCACGUUCUUAAGGAAAGGGCUGGUUUUUCACUGCAAGGAUCGCACAUCUGGGAACAUCUGGAGUUCAACCGGUGUCGCUGCAUCUGACUGGGCCCACUCAGACUCCGGCAACGCAAAGCACGUGGGAGAGGCUCACAUCACCUCAUUAUCAGCCUGUCAGUGCCUAAUUGAACAGAUGCAGUGCUGCGCGUGUGUGCAGCAUUACUUAUACAUUCACCUAAUAUAUAUACAUAUCAGAGGUGCUUGAUGGGCCUUUUAUUACAACGCCAGAAUAUAGCACCGUUGCUAAAGCUGUCAGGGCUUAUAUCGCUUGAAAAAUAAUUGUCCAGUCCCUGGUUAGUGCUUAACACAACAGUUUUCCUAGGCCAUAAUAUAAAGCAUGACAGUGAUGUACUGCUGCUGCACCUCGUAACUGAAUUCCAGGGCCCACGUUUCUCGGGUUUUACCAGGGACGUUCACGUCGAGAUUGCAAAUAGCCAUGCAAACCCCGCUGCCAGAGCUCCCUGGUGAAGGAGGCGAUGCCGAUCACAUCUGCCUAAAUGCUCCGAUCCCACACCGGUCACACCGAUGGAAAUAUUGCAGCGGGCAUUGAGUUUGCUGCAUGGGGCACUGAGCACCCGGGGCAGCCGGGGGCAGUUCUGGGUCUGGGCUGCUCUGGAGCCCAGAUCUGACACAUGGAGGCUUGCAAGGUAAGUGGGAACCACUGGGAAUUGACAGCAAACUUGUAUGAAGUUUUCCUAAAUUGUGCAUGCUUGUUUUUAACUCUGGCUUCCUUUACAGAUGUUCUUAUAAACAGAAAACAGCUUGUUAACAGUAGCAAAAUGGAAAUUUCCUCUGUGCGAUAUAAAUUUCAGUGAUAUACAUGAAUAUAAAACAGUGUAAAACUACACUCUUCUCUGCAAAAACAAAUGUGCCUUUACAUUACACAGGAAAAACUAAUACAUUACAGUCAUUAGGAAAUAUAUAACGUUGACAUUAAUUGAAGUGAAAUGAGGGUGUGCUUGAACUAAUAGAACUGAGGGAAAACAGGUGAAUUGUGUUUUGUAACUGAUGGAGCUACUCUGUACGAGAAUAAUUUCUGUGCUUGGUGUGACUGUAAUCCAUCACCAGCAUGGUAAGUGAACAGGAUUUUGGUGAAAGCAUCUACCCAGAAGUAGAUUUUUGUGUAGCUUACCCAAAUGCCCAUGCUCACAUGUCACAGCACAAAGGAACAAAUAUACUUCCCAUGUAUUUUCAGCAAUGGUACCAGUGCACGUUCCCUUACUGGAGAUAGAGGUGGACUCAAGGAUAUGUACCAUUGACAGAAAAUUAAUAGUAUGUAUUUCUAAAAUGCCUCUGUAUUUUGGUAGUGUAAAUUUUAUACUUCUUUCAAGCAUAGCUGUCCUUUUGGUGACAUCAUGUUUUUUAUUGUAUUUUACUGUCCACUACCACGCAAUACAUAGAUCUUCUACUCACCAAAAGAGGACGUGCUCUUGUCAACUAAGGCAGUUAUUCAGCAUCCUGAAGGUAAGGGACGUGUAAUGGCUCGGUAGAGAGAUGUUUAGGAACUCCACUGCUGACAGUGCAACUUUUGUGUUACAUUUUAUACGAUUGAGAAAUUAUCAACCUGACAUUAAAACAAGUCUUGCUUUAAGGGGGUAUAAUUUUUGCUAAUGGAUUGCUACGUUUCAUUUCCAUAUUUUUUUUCCAGCAAUUUUAUGCUUAAAUAUCAUUGCCCCUUUGAAUUAUGUGAGGCUCUUUUUGCUGUGAGGUUCCAGCAAUUUGCCUUUGCUAGCUUCAUGUGUGUAAUUAGUUUAAUUAGCACUACAGCUUUAAUGGGAGCAUUGGUGGAUGCCGCAUGCACUCUGUUCUUCACUGGACAAAGUCAAAUGUUGUGUUUCUUAAUCAGCUGCAGCUGAAGUGCUCCAGCCCUUACAAGGUGUUGUGCCUGAGCAGAGCUGACACAUUUUGCCACAUUUUCAGAAAGCACUAUAUUCUUUAUUUUGGCUAAAAUAUCUGCCUCCAUCUGGCCUGUGCUUAGGAAAUGUGCGUGCACGUUGGGCAUGCUCAGUGAACUCCUUUUCACGGCUUUCAAAAUACGUUACCUUGGCCUUUCAGGUAAUCCCUAAUUAUUAAUGGCACACAAAACAAAUAGUAUUCUUGCUGUCUGGGAGCAGUGCCUGCAUAAUGGAUGGGGAGAAUCAGACGCAAUGCAUCUUCUUAAUACAGAAUAAAGAUAUUUCACGAAACCCA